Molecule: ribosomal RNA, 253 nt
Filed under: uncultured bacterium
Lineage: Bacteria
Description: partial 16S ribosomal RNA
Rfam family: Bacterial small subunit ribosomal RNA
Source: RNAcentral
UACGUAGGGGGCAAGCGUUGUCCGGAAUCAUUGGGCGUAAAGAGCGUGUAGGCGGCCAGAUAAGUCCGCUGUGAAAUCUCGAGGCUCAACUUCGAGCUGUCGGUGGAAACUGUCUGGCUAGAGUCCGGAAGAGGAGAAUGGAAUUCCUGGUGUAGCGGUGAAAUGCGCAGAUAUCAGGAAGAACACCGAUGGCGAAGGCAGCUCUCUGGGACGGUACUGACGCUGAGACGCGAAAGCGUGGGGAGCGAACAGG